AUGGUGUCCGUCCCUUUCCAGCUGAACGCAGGGAGCAGCAAUGAGGUUUGAGCUUGACGUAAGAGCAGGAUUCUACUCGAACCCGAGGAUUCCCACACUGGAUUUUACAACCUGCCUUCACAUAUGAGAUGUUGAAGCUUUCAAUGAGGUCACGCCAGACACUGACAAGCACUGAUGGGAUGUCAGUACGAAUUGUUAUUUUGAUGAUUCUUUGCCCCCAUACUUCUGAAAGGGAAAGCAACUGUAAACACAAGGGAGACUGAC
Long non-coding RNA from Neopelma chrysocephalum (saffron-crested tyrant-manakin), 264 nucleotides. RefSeq lists it as uncharacterized. The transcript is spliced from 3 exons. NCBI's taxonomy places the organism in Eukaryota, Metazoa, Chordata, Aves, Passeriformes, Pipridae. The record is from RefSeq and is a predicted model, not a curated record.